UACGGAGGGGGCGAGCGUUAUUCGGAAUUAUUGGGCGUAAAGGGCGCGUAGGCGGCCUUGUAAGUCAAAGGUGAAAUCCCUCGGCUCAACUGAGGAACUGCCUUUGAAACUGCAAGGCUUGAGGCCGGGAGGGGGUAGCGGAACUCCCAAUGUAGCGGUGAAAUGCGUAGAUAUUGGGAGGAACACCAGUGGCGAAGGCGGCUACCUGGACCGGUUCUGACGCUGAGGCGCGAAAGCGUGGGUAGCAAACAGG
RNAcentral lists this ribosomal RNA (253 nucleotides) under uncultured bacterium. RNAcentral's name for it is "partial 16S ribosomal RNA". It matches the Rfam family "Bacterial small subunit ribosomal RNA", at positions 524 to 776 of the family's 1533-position model. The record is from RNAcentral.